This 426-nucleotide ribosomal RNA is filed under the name uncultured Pseudomonadaceae bacterium. RNAcentral describes it as "bacterial SSU rRNA". It matches the Rfam family "Bacterial small subunit ribosomal RNA", at positions 356 to 774 of the family's 1533-position model. Lineage: Bacteria; Pseudomonadati; Pseudomonadota; Gammaproteobacteria; Pseudomonadales; Pseudomonadaceae. The record is from RNAcentral.
GGGGAAUAUUGGACAAUGGGCGAAAGCCUGAUCCAGCCAUGCCGCGUGUGUGAAGAAGGUCUUCGGAUUGUAAAGCACUUUCAGUCAGGAGGAAGGUGGUGUAGCUAAUAUCUGCACCAAUUGACGUUACUGACAUAAGAAGCACCGGCUAACUUCGUGCCAGCAGCCGCGGUAAUACGAAGGGUGCAAGCGUUAAUCGGAAUUACUGGGCGUAAAGCGCGCGUAGGUGGUUCGUUAAGUUUGAUGUGAAAGCCCCGGGCUCAGCCUGGGAACUGCAUCCAAAACUGGCGAGCUAGAGUACGGUAGAGGGUGGUGGAAUUUCCUGUGUAGCGGUGAAAUGCGUAGAUAUAGGAAGGAACACCAGUGGCGAAGGCGACCACCUGGACUGAUACUGACACUGAGGUGCGAAAGCGUGGGGAGCAAACA